AUUGAACGCUGGCGGCAGGCCUAACACAUGCAAGUCGAGCGGAUGAAGGGAGCUUGCUCCUGGAUUCAGCGGCGGACGGGUGAGUAAUGCCUAGGAAUCUGCCUGGUAGUGGGGGAUAACGUCCGGAAACGGGCGCUAAUACCGCAUACGUCCUGAGGGAGAAAGUGGGGGAUCUUCGGACCUCACGCUAUCAGAUGAGCCUAGGUCGGAUUAGCUAGUUGGUGGGGUAAAGGCCUACCGAGGCGACGAUCCGUAACUGGUCUGAGAGGAUGAUCAGUCACACUGGAACUGAGACACGGGCCAGACUCCUACGGGAGGCAGCAGUGGGGAAUAUUGGACAAUGGGCGAAAGCCUGAUCCAGCCAUGCCGCGUGUGUGAAGAGGUCUUCGGAUUGUAAAGCACUUUAAGUUGGGAGGAAGGGCAGUAAGUUAAUACCUUGCUGUUUUGACGUUACCAACAGAAUAAGCACCGGCUAACUUCGUG
Molecule: ribosomal RNA, 483 nt
Filed under: uncultured bacterium
Lineage: Bacteria
Description: partial 16S ribosomal RNA
Rfam family: Bacterial small subunit ribosomal RNA
Source: RNAcentral